CGUUGGGGCCGGUACGAGGAUCGCCCCAAUGAGAAAGAAAACCCCAAGGAAGCGAAGAAGAAGCAAGAAAAAAUUGAUUCUUCCAUCCAUAAAUGGACGAUGGAAGACUAGUGAUAAAGAAAAGGCCUUUUCGAGGGUUGAAGAACCACCACCCUCGGGCCUUCGGAUGAGGUCGGAGGACAAAGAAGGCUCGAAAAAGAGAAGGAUGGGGCA
RNAcentral lists this long non-coding RNA (213 nucleotides) under Elaeis guineensis (African oil palm). Its description in RNAcentral is "long non-coding RNA (EGUI_LNC026195)". The record is from RNAcentral. Lineage: Eukaryota; Viridiplantae; Streptophyta; Magnoliopsida; Arecales; Arecaceae.